This 222-nucleotide ribosomal RNA is filed under the name uncultured Glomeromycotina. RNAcentral's name for it is "partial 18S ribosomal RNA". The stretch from base 45 to 222 matches the Rfam family "Eukaryotic small subunit ribosomal RNA", at positions 693 to 870 of the family's 1831-position model. Lineage: Eukaryota; Fungi; Glomeromycota. The record is from RNAcentral.
GGAUCAAUAUGUCGGUCGUGCCUCGGUACGUACUGGCUUAUUGGUUUCUCCUUUCUGAAGAACCAUGAUGUCAUUUAUUUGGUGUCGUGGGAAAUCAGGACUGUUACUUUGGAAAAAAAUUAGAGUGUUUAAAGCAGGCUCACGCUUGAAUACAUUAGCAUGGAAUAAUGAAAUAGGACGUUUGAUUCUAUUUUGUUGGUUUCUAGGAUCGACGUAAUGAUU